UACAGAGGUCCCGAGCGUUGUUCGGAUUCAUUGGGCGUAAAGGGUGCGUAGGCGGCGGGGCAAGUCUGAUGUGAAAUCCCGGGGCUCAACCCCGGAACUGCAUUGGAUACUGCCUUGCUCGAGUACUGGAGAGGGAACUGGAAUUUACGGUGUAGCAGUGAAAUGCGUAGAUAUCGAGAGGAACACCUGCGGCGAAGGCGGGUAGCUGGGCCGACACUGACGCUGAUGCGCGAAAGCCAGGGGAGCGAAUGGG
Molecule: ribosomal RNA, 253 nt
Filed under: uncultured bacterium
Lineage: Bacteria
Description: partial 16S ribosomal RNA
Rfam family: Bacterial small subunit ribosomal RNA
Source: RNAcentral